This 484-nucleotide ribosomal RNA is filed under the name uncultured bacterium. RNAcentral's name for it is "partial 16S ribosomal RNA". It matches the Rfam family "Bacterial small subunit ribosomal RNA", at positions 30 to 507 of the family's 1533-position model. The record is from RNAcentral.
AUUGAACGCUGGCGGCAGGCCUAACACAUGCAAGUCGAGCGGAUGAAGGGAGCUUGCUCCUGGAUUCAGCGGCGGACGGGUGAGUAAUGCCUAGGAAUCUGCCUGGUAGUGGGGGAUAACGUCCGGAAACGGGCGCUAAUACCGCAUACGUCCUGAGGGAGAAAGUGGGGGAUCUUCGGACCUCACGCUAUCAGAUGAGCCUAGGUCGGAUUAGCUAGUUGGUGGGGUAAAGGCCUACCAAGGCGACGAUCCGUAACUGGUCUGAGAGGAUGAUCAGUCACACUGGAACGGAGACACGGUCCAGACUCCUACGGGAGGCAGCAGUGGGGAAUAUUGGACCAUGGGCGAAAGCCUGAUCCAGCCAUGCCGCGUGUGUGAAGAAGGUCUUCGGAUUGUAAAGCACUUUAAGUUGGGAGGAAGGGCAGUAAGUCAAUACCGUGCUGUUUUGACGUUACCAACAGAAUAAGCACCGGCUAACUUCGUG